This 229-nucleotide ribosomal RNA is filed under the name uncultured bacterium. RNAcentral's name for it is "partial 16S ribosomal RNA". It matches the Rfam family "Bacterial small subunit ribosomal RNA", at positions 568 to 796 of the family's 1533-position model. The record is from RNAcentral.
UGCGCAGGCGGAACUUUAAGUCAGUGGUGAAAUCUUGCCGCUUAACGGUAAAAUUGCCAUUGAUACUGAAGUUCUUGAAUAUGGUUGAGGUAGGCGGAAUGUGUUGUGUAGCGGUGAAAUGCAUAGGUAUGACACAGAACGCCGAUUGCGAAGGCAGCUUACUAAGCCAUUAUUGACGCUGAGGCACGAAAGCGUGGGGAGCGAACAGGAUUAGAUACCCUGGUAGUCC